UUAAAGGAAUUGACGGAAGGGCACCACCAGAAGUGGAGCCUGCGGCUUAAUUUGACUCAACACGGGAAAACUUACCCGGCCCGGACACCGGAAGGAUUGACAGAUUAAUAGCUCUUUCUUGAUUCGGUGGGUGGUGGUGCAUGGCCGUUCUUAGUUGGUGGAGUGAUUUGUCUGGUUAAUUCCGAUAACGAACGAGACUCUAGCCUACUAAAUAGACCCACGAUCCUUGGUAUCGUGUGCGGGUCUUCUUAGAGGGACAGGCGGCUCUUAGCCGCACGAAACAGAGCAAUAACAGGUCUGUGAUGCCCUUAGAUGUCCGGGGCCGCACGCGCGCUACACUGAAGGAAUCAGCAUGUGUCUACCCUAGUCCGAGAGGACCGGGUAACCCUGUGAACCUCCUUCGUGAUAGGGAUAGGGGAUUGUAAUUAUUCCCCUCGAACGAGGAAUUCCCAGUAAGCGCGAGUCAUCAGCUCGCGUUGAUUACGUCCCUGCCCUUUGUACACACCGCCCGUCGCUACUACCGAUUGAAUGAUUUAGUGAGGUCUUCGGACUGGAGCAACGAGCGGCUCCGGCCGCUCUCUGCACCGGGAAGAUGACCAAACUUGAUCAUUUAGAGGAAGUAAAAGUCGUAACAAGGUUGCC
RNAcentral lists this ribosomal RNA (642 nucleotides) under Cheiridiinae sp. JM-2008. Its description in RNAcentral is "SSU rRNA". It matches the Rfam family "Eukaryotic small subunit ribosomal RNA", at positions 1144 to 1804 of the family's 1831-position model. Lineage: Eukaryota; Metazoa; Arthropoda; Arachnida; Pseudoscorpiones; Cheiridiidae. The record is from RNAcentral.